Molecule: non-coding RNA, 679 nt
Organism: Cicer arietinum (chickpea)
Lineage: Eukaryota; Viridiplantae; Streptophyta; Magnoliopsida; Fabales; Fabaceae
Source: RefSeq, a predicted model, not a curated record
UGUUUGUUCUCUCUUAUAAACACUCAUCUUCCUCUAACAAAAUGGUACGAGUGUUUGGUUUGUAAGAGUUGAGAGAAUAAAAUUAAGAGGUAACAUACCACAUCUACGCUACUUUUCAUUUAUUUCUUCUUACAAAAGAGAAUUAUGAAAAAUAGUAUUUCUGUAUGAAAACAUUACUUAACUAUUAAGAUGUAUCAGAGAUUGUGAGAAUACUCUAUGAGAAGAAGUCACAAGAUGAAAGUUUUCCAAAUAUGAGAAGGAGAUAUUGCUAAAGACAGAAGAAAGAUUAGCAUGCUCCUAUCCUCGUCCAUUAACAUUGUUAAUGCAGUGGUUACAUGUUGUAUGCAAUGCAAAGGAAAAGUUCUUCAUAUGUAUCAGAUUGUGUUGAAGAUAUACAAAAUAUAUUCGCAAGCAGCUGAGUAGGAAUCUAUUAUUUGAUUCAAGUCUCAACAUACUUCUUUUUUGGUAGGCCUCUUUGAUCGAGGACCAUUUUGUAACAUUUGUUGAGUCUAUGUAAAUUGCAGUUAUUUUGGAGUCUAGAAAGUCUAUUUAGUUUUUUUUUUUGGGAAGUGUAUUAAACAAUUUGAUUAUGUUAUUUGAAUUAUGACUGGAUUGAAAGUUGAACAGGGAUUUUACAAAAUUUGGAAAUGUUGAAGUUACAGAGGAUACUCUGUCGAAA